This 506-nucleotide ribosomal RNA is filed under the name uncultured bacterium. Its description in RNAcentral is "partial 16S ribosomal RNA". It matches the Rfam family "Bacterial small subunit ribosomal RNA", at positions 29 to 523 of the family's 1533-position model. The record is from RNAcentral.
AGUGAACGCUGGCGGUAGGCCUAACACAUGCAAGUCGAACGGCAGCACAGGAGAGCUUGCUCUCUGGGUGGCGAGUGGCGGACGGGUGAGGAAUACAUCGGAAUCUACUCUGUCGUGGGGGAUAACGUAGGGAAACUUACGCUAAUACCGCAUACGACCUACGGGUGAAAGCAGGGGACCUUCGGCCCUUGCGCGAUUGAAUGAGCCGAUGUCGGAUUAGCUAGUUGGCGGGGUAAAGGCCCACCAAGGCGACGAUCCGUAGCUGGUCUGAGAGGAUGAUCAGCCAGACUGGAACUGAGACACGGUCCAGACUCCUACGGGAGGCAGCAGUGGGGAAUAUUGGACAAUGGGCGCAAGCCUGAUCCAGCCAUACCGCGUGGGUGAAGAAGGCCUUCGGGUUGUAAAGCCCUUUUGUUGGGAAAGAAAUCCAGCUGGCUAAUACCCGGUUGGGAUGACGGUACCCAAAGAAUAGGCACCGGCUAACUUCGUGCCAGCCGCCGCAGUAA